Eptesicus fuscus (big brown bat) is the source of this 454-nucleotide long non-coding RNA. RefSeq lists it as uncharacterized. The record is from RefSeq and is a predicted model, not a curated record. The transcript has 3 exons. NCBI's taxonomy places the organism in Eukaryota, Metazoa, Chordata, Mammalia, Chiroptera, Vespertilionidae.
AGAAAUCCCCACAGCGUAAUGUGCCAUCAUAGCUCAGGGACAAUAUGUGAGCCGGAUUGGCAGUUCUGAGACUAUAGGUGAAAAUCUCAGGGUGUGGUCAAUUCACCAGGACGGAUUUUCAGGGUAGAAGCUAAACCAAACUGUGCUCCCUAUCAUCUCGGCUACAGAAUUUGUUUCUGUCCUGGUGGACAGAAAAAUCAACAACUUUUCUAGGAUCCUUAAGAGUGGCAAGGACACAGUGAAAACCGCUGACCCCAAUAUUGGAGAGAGACACACAGGAAAACACAGGACUCAUGGCUUAUUGGAGCAGAGACUCAGGAAUGAAGUGCCUGAACCACCAGAAAAACCUAAACUGUAAUUGACCAACUGCUGGAGGCUCAGUGUGGACAAGUCUGGGAGUUAAAAACUCCAUGAGAAGCUACACAAAACCUGCACAUGGGUGUGUAUAGUACAU